CACGUAGGGUGCGAGCGUUGUCCGGAAUUAUUGGGCGUAAAGAGCUCGUAGGCGGUGUGUCACGUCGGCCGUGAAAACCUGCAGCUUAACUGUGGGCGUGCGGUCGAUACGGGCAUCACUGGAGUUCGGCAGGGGAGACUGGAAUUCCUGGUGUAGCGGUGAAAUGCGCAGAUAUCAGGAAGAACACCCGUGGCGAAGGCGGCUUUCUGGGACGGUACUGACGCUGAGACGCGAAAGCGUGGGGAGCAAACAGG
This 254-nucleotide ribosomal RNA is filed under the name uncultured bacterium. Its description in RNAcentral is "partial 16S ribosomal RNA". It matches the Rfam family "Bacterial small subunit ribosomal RNA", at positions 524 to 776 of the family's 1533-position model. The record is from RNAcentral.